UGACAUGUGUGCGAUUUAACGGGCGAGUAAACCCGUAAGGCGUAAGGAAGCUGAUUGGUGGGAUCCCCCUGAGGGUGCACCGCCGACCGACCUAGAUCUUCUGUGAAGGCUUCGAGUGUGAGCAUACCUGUCG
This 133-nucleotide non-coding RNA is filed under the name Nicotiana attenuata. RNAcentral's name for it is "rRNA LSU_rRNA_eukarya". It matches the Rfam family "Eukaryotic large subunit ribosomal RNA", at positions 676 to 811 of the family's 3401-position model. The record is from Rfam by way of RNAcentral. Lineage: Eukaryota; Viridiplantae; Streptophyta; Magnoliopsida; Solanales; Solanaceae.